AAUUCCUAAGUUUUCCAGAACUUAUCUCAUCUUUGAUAAGCUUUGAUUUCUAUCUUCAAUCGCAAGUCCCGAUUCUGUCCGUUGCAUUAAUUAAAGCAUAAGCGGUUCUGUCAAUACGACACUGUCAACACGAUCUUCGUGGGGAGGUAAUUUCCUAAAAGUGGUUGAGCUAGGCUAGAGUAGUGCCCAGAUUGCUCCCAAUACUUGGAAAUUACCAUACCCUAGGUUUGAUUGAAACUGAACCAUAGCUAUGGCUAUUUGACAUGAUAAAUACUUUCGUCAAUCCUCACCAAUUAUCACCC
This 302-nucleotide long non-coding RNA is filed under the name Brassica napus (rape). RNAcentral describes it as "long non-coding RNA (BNAP_LNC004041)". The record is from RNAcentral. Lineage: Eukaryota; Viridiplantae; Streptophyta; Magnoliopsida; Brassicales; Brassicaceae.